AAUAUGCAUGAAUUAUGUCAUUUGAUUUCAAAAUCUUCUGAGUUGUUUGCAACUGUUCCAGCACAAUUUCAUGAGAAUGUUCUUGAUCAUUUUUUAAAAUAUUAGAAAUCUUUAAAACAAAAAUGUGUGAUGAAGUCCACGGCAAUGAACUGUACUUAGGCUUGUUUGAAACUAAAUGCCUUAGGAUUUAUCUCAAGAACUCUGUCUAAAAUACCCUACUCUCACACCCAUACUUCAUUUGCAUCCACAUGUUAAAAAGCAUACCCGUGGUACCACCAAUAACCAAACGUAGUGAGCAUGAUUAAGUUGGAACCAAAUCUCUCAGUUAGCUCACUUGACAAAUUUGAUU
This 349-nucleotide unclassified non-coding RNA is filed under the name Hevea brasiliensis (rubber tree). The record is from RNAcentral. Lineage: Eukaryota; Viridiplantae; Streptophyta; Magnoliopsida; Malpighiales; Euphorbiaceae.